Molecule: transfer RNA, 72 nt
Organism: Capsella rubella
Lineage: Eukaryota; Viridiplantae; Streptophyta; Magnoliopsida; Brassicales; Brassicaceae
Rfam family: tRNA
About the family: Transfer RNA (tRNA) molecules are approximately 80 nucleotides in length. Their secondary structure includes four short double-helical elements and three loops (D, anti-codon, and T loops).
Source: Rfam
GCCCGUAUAGCUCAGUGGUAGAGCGUCAGUCUUGUAAACUGAAGGUCCGCAGUUCGAUCCUGCGUGUGGGCA